This 1050-nucleotide ribosomal RNA is filed under the name uncultured bacterium. Its description in RNAcentral is "bacterial SSU rRNA". It matches the Rfam family "Bacterial small subunit ribosomal RNA", at positions 83 to 1121 of the family's 1533-position model. The record is from RNAcentral.
CCAACUGGAUGAGCAGCGAACGGGYGAGUAACGCGUGGGGAAUCUGCCUUUGAKCGGGGGACAACAUUUGGAAACGAAUGCGAAUACCGCAUAAAAACUUUAAACGCAAGUUUUAGGUUUGAAAGGUGCAAUGGCAUCWCUCAAAGAUGAUCCCGCGUUGUAUUAGGUAGUUGGUGAGGUAAAGGGUCACCAAGGCGAGGAUACAUAGCCGACCUGAGAGGGUGAUCGGCCGCGUUGGGACUGAGACACGGCCCAAACUCCUACGGGAGGCAGCAGUAGGGAAUCUUCGGCAAUGGACGAAAGUCUGACCGAGCAACGCCGCGUGAGUGAAGAAGGUUUUCGGAUCGUAAAACUCUGUUGGUAGAGAAGAACGUUGGUGAGAGUGGAAAGCUCAUCAAGUGACGGUAACUACCCAGAAAGGGACGGCUAACUACGUGCCAGCAGCCGCGGUAAUACGUAGGUCCCGAGCGUUGUCCGGAUUUAUUGGGCGUAAAGCGAGCGCAGGUGGUUUAUUAAGUCUGGUGUAAAAGGCAGUGGCUCAACCAUUGUAUGCAUUGGAAACUGGUAGACUUGAGUGCAGGAGAGGAGAGUGGAAUUCCAUGUGUAGCGGUGAAAUGCGUAGAUAUAUGGAGGAACACCGGUGGCGAAAGCGGCUCUCUGGCCUGUAACUGACACUGAGGCUCGAAAGCGUGGGGAGCAAACGGGAUUAGAUACCCUGGUAGUCCACGCCGUAAACGAUGAGUGCUAGAUGUAGGGAGCUAUAAGUUCUCUGUAUCGCAGCUAACGCAAUAAGCACUCCGCCUGGGGAGUACGACCGCAAGGUUGAAACUCAAAGGAAUUGACGGGGGCCCGCACAAGCGGUGGAGCAUGUGGUUUAAUUCGAAGCAACGCGAAGAACCUUACCAGGUCUUGACAUACUCGUGCUAUUCCUAGAGAUAGGAAGUUCCUUCGGGACACGGGAUACAGUGGUGCAUGGUUUGUCGUCAGCUCGUGUCGUGAGAUGUUGGGUUAAGUCCCGCAACGAGCGCAACCCCUAUUGUUAGUUGCCAU